CUUUACUGUAGCUUUACAUUGGACUUUGAACAGAUCUGUGUAGGAUAGGUGGGAGGCUUUGAAGUCAGGUCGCUAGAUCUGAUGGAGCCAACGUUGAAAUACCACCCUGGUGUGUUUGAGGUUCUAACCUUGUCCCGUUAUCCGGGAUGGGGACAGUGUAUGGUGGGCAGUUUGACUGGGGCGGUCUCCUCCCAAAGCGUAACGGAGGAGUUCGAAGGUACGCUAGGCACGGUCGGAAAUCGUGCUGAUAGUGCAUAGGCAUAAGCGUGCCUGACUGCGAGACUGACAAGUCGAGCAGGUACGAAAGUAGGACUAAGUGAUCCGGUGGUUCUGUAUGGAAGGGCCAUCGCUCAACGGAUAAAAGGUA
This 367-nucleotide ribosomal RNA is filed under the name uncultured organism. RNAcentral's name for it is "bacterial LSU rRNA". It matches the Rfam family "Bacterial large subunit ribosomal RNA", at positions 2099 to 2465 of the family's 2925-position model. The record is from RNAcentral.